AUAUUCUGUAGCAAGGUUAACCGUAUAGGGGAGCCGUAGGGAAACCGAGUCUUAACCGGGCGUUAAGUUGCAGGGUAUAGACCCGAAACCCGGUGAUCUAGCCAUGGGCAGGUUGAAGGUUGGGUAACACUAACUGGAGGACCGAACCGACUAAUGUUGAAAAAUUAGCGGAUGACCUGUGGCUGGGGGUGAAAGGCCAAUCAAACCGGGAGAUAGCUGGUUCUCCCCGAAAGCUAUUUAGGUAGCGCCUCGUGAAUUCAUCUCCGGGGGUAGAGCACUGUUUCGGCUAGGGGGCCAUCCCGGCUUACCAACCCGAUGCAAACUGCGAAUACCGGAGAAUGUUAUCACGGGAGACACACGGCGGGUGCUAACGUCCGUCGUGAAGAGGGAAACAACCCAGACCGCCAGCUAAGGUCCCAAAGUCAUGGUUAAGUGGGAAACGAUGUGGGAAGGCCCAGACAGCCAGGAUGUUGGCUUAGAAGCAGCCAUCAUUUAAAGAAAGCGUAAUAGCUCACUGGUCGAGUCGGCCUGCGCGGAAGAUGUAACGGGGCUAAACCAUGCACCGAAGCUGCGGCAGCGAACGUAUCACCCAAGACAACUUUACGGAGUUGACGAUUGACGGAGCGAAGCGACGUCAAAGCGUUCAUUAAAGUCGAGUUGGCUUAGGGAUACGUUCGUUGGGUAGGGGAGCGUUCUGUAAGCCUGUGAAGGUGUGUCGUGAGGCAUGCUGGAGGUAUCAGAAGUGCGAAUGCUGACAUAAGUAACGAUAAAGCGGGUGA
RNAcentral lists this ribosomal RNA (779 nucleotides) under Salmonella enterica subsp. enterica serovar Typhimurium. Its description in RNAcentral is "partial 23S ribosomal RNA". It matches the Rfam family "Bacterial large subunit ribosomal RNA", at positions 630 to 1324 of the family's 2925-position model. Lineage: Bacteria; Pseudomonadati; Pseudomonadota; Gammaproteobacteria; Enterobacterales; Enterobacteriaceae. The record is from RNAcentral.